UACGUAGGUGGCAAGCGUUGUCCGGAUUUACUGGGCGUAAAGAGCGCGCAGGCGGCUGGUCAAGUCCGAUGUGAAAUCUCCCGGCUUAACUGGGAAACUGCAUCGGAAACUGAUCGGCUUGAAGGUGGGAGAGGGUAGUGGAAUUCCCGGUGUAGUGGUGAAAUGCGUAGAGAUGUGGAGGAACACCAAUGGCGAAGGCAGCCUUCUGGGCCAACACUGACGCUCAUGCACGAAAGCGUGGGGAGCAAACAGG
RNAcentral lists this ribosomal RNA (253 nucleotides) under uncultured bacterium. Its description in RNAcentral is "partial 16S ribosomal RNA". It matches the Rfam family "Bacterial small subunit ribosomal RNA", at positions 524 to 776 of the family's 1533-position model. The record is from RNAcentral.